CCGGCUCCUUAAUUUGAUAUUUGCGGAGCAGGAAACGAACUAACUCAGCCACUUUCUCAUCAAGUGCUUCCCGGAACAGGGACUCCAGGUGUGGCUCCCUCUGCUGAGCUGAGGACGCCCUUCAGACCCAGGUUGCUACCUCCCUGAGACCCAGGAGGCAGAAGUAAGGAGGCACUACAUGGACAACCCUGCAUGGGAUUCCCACGGCUGACAGAAGUAGGCUGUUCACCACCCCCCUGCUGACUUGAGUUUCAGUCCCUCGGAUUCCUGAGGCCAAAUGUGGAGGCCCCUCAGUCUCAGACAGUUGUUAUUAGCAGAAUUCUGGAGCCAUGGUGUCUCAAUCAAUCCAAUUUUCCUGGUGUCCUGAUAUUACCCCUGGGCUACUGGCUUCGUGUUUUGAGUUGAUUUUGGGAGUAGAGCACAGCAGCCUGGGCUUGAUUGUCACUUUGGCAGCUACAGCAUUCACUGCAGCUGUGAACGGUAGCAGUGAAAGCAUACAUCAAUGACUUGCUCCUGACGAGAAUGGGAAUGCUUCUAACAUUUCACAUUCAAGAGAAGGAGCCUUGGAGAAUUCGUUGAAUAAUUGCCCGUAUUUUGGGAUUAUUUGGAAGAGUUAAUAUGGUGAUUCGUUUUCCCUGACCACUUGGGGGAACUGACCCACAAAACUGCCUGCCUUAGAACGGUAGAGGGUGGAUUGAGCUUUAAAUACAUUUUCAGUUUGUGGACGUACCAUUGGUUUUAUCCAUUCACCAAUUGGAAAAAGUAUUGAUUGUCAAUUUCAAAUAAGCUGCUAUAUAUGUUUUUGUGUACGUGAUUUUGUGUGUAUGAACCUGUUUCCAAUUUUCCUUGAUAAAACCUAGGAGUACAAUUGCUGUGUGUAAUGGUAAGUCUAAGUUUUGCUAUAUUAGAAAUAGCCAAAGCCCCUUCUAGAGUGAAUGUGUUCUUUUUCUUCUCUACCAGCAAUGAAAGAGAAUGCCACAUCUUUUGUACAAUUUGGUAUUUUCAGGUUGUUGCAUUGUAUCAAUUGUAACAGGUGGGUAGAAGAAUGUUACUGCUGUUUACAUUUGUAUUUUUAUUGAAUAAUUAUGGUAAUCAUCUUUUCAUAUGCUUUUUUGUGAUCUGUGUAUCUUCAUUGGUGAAGUCUUGAAAUCAUUUACUAUUUUAUUGGACUCUUCAUUUUUAUGUGGUUGCAUGUUAUAAGGUGUUUAUUCAUUCAGUAUAUGAAUCCUUUAUCCGACACGGGGUUUACAAGUAUUUUCUCCCCAUUUUUGGCUUUUUUCCCCAUUCCUUUAAGUGUUUUUUUUUUUUUAGUAAACAUUUUAGAGUAAUUUUAAAUUUACAGAAAAGUUGCGAAGACAGUUAAGAGGGUUUUCCUAUACAUCAUGUCCAGUUUCUCCUAUUAUUAACAUCAUGCAAUAAUAUGAUACAUUCUUCAUAAUUCAUAAAUCAAUAUUCACCUGCACAUUCCUGUCAUUGUUUGAGGAUCCCAUCUAGGAUACCAUGCUACUUUAGUCUAAGCUGUGAUAGUUUCUCAGACUAUUCUUGUUUUUGAUGACUUUAACAGUUUUGGGGAGUAUCGAUCAGGCUAUUUGUGGAAUUACCCUCAUUUGGUAUUUGUCUGAGUUUUUUCAUAUAUAGACUUGAGUAAUGGCUUUGGGGUAGGAGACCAGAGAGGCGAAAUGCCAUUCUCAUUACACGAUAUUUUAGCAACAUGACUCAUCGCUGUUGAUGUUGACUGAUGAACUGGCUGAGGUAGUGUUGUCAGGAUUUCCCUCUGCAAGGUUAUUACAUUCCCCCCUUUCUGUAUUGUGCUUUAUAAAAGAAAGUCACUAAGGGCAGCCAUUGGGUAGUAGGGAAGUAUGGUCCACCUUCUUGGGAAGGGGUAGUAUUGACAUGAAUGAUUUGGGAUUCUUCUCAAUGGGAGAUUUGUUUAUUCUCCCCCAUUAUUUGUAUUUAUUUAACCUUCAAUUUGUCUCGGCUGAACUCAUGGUAAUUUAUUAUAUGUUUGGGGUUAUAAUUCAACACCACUUUUAUUUUGCUGCUCAGAUUGUUCCAUCUUUGUCCAUUGGAAGCUCUUUCAGUUGGCUCUGAUGUCCCCUUCACGUAACUGAGCCAUUACAUUUGUUUGUAGCUCUGUCUUACUUUAUGGUAUGACAAGAUGAUGCAGGCUCAUUUUUAUAUUUCCUGUUCCAGUCAUAGAAGAGUCAAUUUUCCAUGGUUUCUGCUUCCUUUUAUGGGAGAAGAGUAUUGGAAUGUGAGAGGUGGGUGCUUGGCAUGCUCAUUGUUCCUGAGGAUUUGUUAUUCCUAGCCACCUCAAUUCUCAGAGUAAAGAUAUAUAUUUUGGUAUAUUAACCUGUGUAUAUACACAUAUCUAUAAUCAGAAUUCUUAAACCCAGUCCCUGUGAGAAAUAGCUUUAGAAGCCAGACAAUACUGCUUCAGUACAGUUUCUUUUAACUUCGGUCCCAGAGACUAACUUCCACAGGUACUUAGGACAGCACCAUAUCCCCAGAUACUCAUUAGAGGUUGUUUCAUAGAUUUGUAACACAGUUAUAUUGUUUUGUCAUAUUCUAUACUCCACCUUGGCAUUCCUCGACCUCCUAAUUUUUUCAAUUUUGCAUACAUUGAGGUUUACUCUUUGUGCUUUAAGGUUUUAUGCUUUUUGACAAAUGCAUAAUAUAUUCCAUUUUUUGACAGCAUGUCAUCAACCAUGACAUGACAAAAUCAAUCAUUACAGUAGCCUAGAGAAUAGUUUCACCUGUCUAAUAAAUUCCUUCUGCUUAUCCUAGUCAUACCUUUUCCCCACCCCUGAUCCCUGGCCACAACAGGUAUUUUUACUGUCGUUAUAGUCUUGUCUUUCCAGAACGUCAAAUAAAUUGCAUCAUAUACUAUGUAGUCUUUUCGGACUGGCUUCUUUUACUUAGAAUUAAGCAUUUAAGAUUUAUUCAUGUUUUUGUGUGCCUAGAUAAGUAAAUAUUUUGGUUGAUGAAUAGUGUUCUGUUGUUGUUGGACCACAGUUUGUUUAUUCAUCUGUCUCUUGAAGAACAUCUUUGUUGUUUCCAGUUUUGGCCAAUUAUUAAAUAAGCUGCCACACCCAUUCAUAUGCAGGUUUUUUUUGUGGGCAUAAAUUUGCAAAUUAGUUCAAUGUAUACCUAGGAGUGUCAAGAAUUUGUUCAGCUUUGUAAAAAAAUCAACUGACAAACCAUCUUUGAAAGUGGCUGUACUACUUUGCAUUCCCAACAGCAACAAAUGAGAGUUCCUUGUUGCCAGGAAUUGGUAUUGUCAGUAUUUGGAUUUUGGACAUUCUAAUAAGUGUGUAUCUUUGUUAUUUAAUUCAUAAUUCUCUAAUAAAGAAUGACAUUGACUAUGUUGUCUUAUGCUUAUUUUUU
Molecule: long non-coding RNA, 3387 nt
Filed under: Homo sapiens (human)
Lineage: Eukaryota; Metazoa; Chordata; Mammalia; Primates; Hominidae
Description: HSALNT0287284
Source: RNAcentral